Molecule: ribosomal RNA, 1318 nt
Filed under: Salmonella enterica
Lineage: Bacteria; Pseudomonadati; Pseudomonadota; Gammaproteobacteria; Enterobacterales; Enterobacteriaceae
Also listed under: 1 other name
Description: bacterial LSU rRNA
Rfam family: Bacterial large subunit ribosomal RNA
Source: RNAcentral
GGGUUGUGAGGUUAAGCGACUAAGCGUACACGGUGGAUGCCCUGGCAGUCAGAGGCGAUGAAGGGCGUGCUAAUCUGCGAUAAGCGCCGGUAAGGUGAUAUGAACCGUUAUAACCGGCGAUACCCGAAUGGGGAAACCCAGUGUGACUCGUCACACUAUCAUUAACUGAAUCCAUAGGUUAAUGAGGCGAACCGGGGGAACUGAAACAUCUAAGUACCCCGAGGAAAAGAAAUCAACCGAGAUUCCCCCAGUAGCGGCGAGCGAACGGGGAGGAGCCCAGAGCCUGAAUCAGCAUGUGUGUUAGUGGAAGCGUCUGGAAAGGCGCGCGAUACAGGGUGACAGCCCCGUACACAAAAGCGCAUGUGCUGUGAGCUCGAUGAGUAGGGCGGGACACGUGGUAUCCUGUCUGAAUAUGGGGGGACCAUCCUCCAAGGCUAAAUACUCCUGACUGACCGAUAGUGAACCAGUACCGUGAGGGAAAGGCGAAAAGAACCCCGGCGAGGGGAGUGAAAAAGAACCUGAAACCGUGUACGUACAAGCAGUGGGAGCACAGGUUUACCUGUGUGACUGCGUACCUUUUGUAUAAUGGGUCAGCGACUUAUAUUCUGUAGCAAGGUUAACCGAAUAGGGGAGCCGCAGGGAAACCGAGUCUUAAUUGGGCGUUAAGUUGCAGGGUAUAGACCCGAAACCCGGUGAUCUAGCCAUGGGCAGGUUGAAGGUUGGGUAACACUAACUGGAGGACCGAACCGACUAAUGUUGAAAAAUUAGCGGAUGACCUGUGGCUGGGGGUGAAAGGCCAAUCAAACCGGGAGAUAGCUGGUUCUCCCCGAAAGCUAUUUAGGUAGCGCCUCGUGAAUUCAUCUCCGGGGGUAGAGCACUGUUUCGGCUAGGGGGCCAUCCCGGCUUACCAACCCGAUGCAAACUGCGAAUACCGGAGAAUGUUAUCACGGGAGACACACGGCGGGUGCUAACGUCCGUCGUGAAGAGGGAAACAACCCAGACCGCCAGCUAAGGUCCCAAAGUCAUGGUUAAGUGGGAAACGAUGUGGGAAGGCCCAGACAGCCAGGAUGUUGGCUUAGAAGCAGCCAUCAUUUAAAGAAAGCGUAAUAGCUCACUGGUCGAGUCGGCCUGCGCGGAAGAUGUAACGGGGCUAAACCAUGCACCGAAGCUGCGGCAGCGACACUGUGUGUUGUUGGGUAGGGGAGCGUUCUGUAAGCCUGUGAAGGUGGCCUGUGAGGGUUGCUGGAGGUAUCAGAAGUGCGAAUGCUGACAUAAGUAACGAUAAAGCGGGUGAAAAGCCCGCUCGCCGGAAGACCAA